GGAUGUGAGGGCAACCUUGCUGCAACAUCUAUCACCCCACUGAUCGCCAGAGUUGAUUCGGCUGAUCUGGCUGGCUAGGUGUUCCCUUCCCCCCUCAUCGCUCCAUGUGUGUCCCUCUUGAAUCUGUGCACUGAGUCGGAGAGGAUGACCACUCCUGAUAGAGGAGGACCAUUUCCUCGGUCAGGGUUAUGUGGGUAGCUGCACUCCCCUGCUAGAACCUCCAAUCAAGUUCUCAAGAGUAAACCCUAAUGUAAACUACAGACUUUGAGUGAUCAUGUUGUGCCAAAGUUGGUUCAUCUGCUGUAACAAAUAUCCCCUACAAAUAUCCCAAAUAUCCCCUACACCAGUAGGGGAUGUUGAU
RNAcentral lists this small nuclear RNA (361 nucleotides) under Heterocephalus glaber (naked mole-rat). RNAcentral describes it as "7SK RNA". The stretch from base 1 to 324 matches the Rfam family "7SK RNA". From Rfam's summary of the family: 7SK was discovered as an abundant small nuclear RNA in the mid-70s but a possible function has only recently been suggested. Two independent studies have found that 7SK RNA binds the CDK9/cyclin T complex (known as elongation factor P-TEFb). P-TEFb activates transcription by phosphorylating the C-terminal domain of RNA polymerase II. The record is from Rfam by way of RNAcentral. Lineage: Eukaryota; Metazoa; Chordata; Mammalia; Rodentia; Bathyergidae.